GCCGGGUUAGCUCAGCUGGUAGAGCAACCGCCUUGUAAGCGGUAGGCCGUCGGUUCGAGUCCGACACCCGGCACCA
This 76-nucleotide transfer RNA is filed under the name Sphingosinicella sp. LHD-64. Its description in RNAcentral is "tRNA-Thr". It matches the Rfam family "tRNA". From Rfam's summary of the family: Transfer RNA (tRNA) molecules are approximately 80 nucleotides in length. Their secondary structure includes four short double-helical elements and three loops (D, anti-codon, and T loops). The record is from RNAcentral. Lineage: Bacteria; Pseudomonadati; Pseudomonadota; Alphaproteobacteria; Sphingomonadales; Sphingosinicellaceae.